This 24-nucleotide non-coding RNA is filed under the name Rattus norvegicus (Norway rat). The record is from RNAcentral. Lineage: Eukaryota; Metazoa; Chordata; Mammalia; Rodentia; Muridae.
CAUAAGUCAUGGAUGGUCCACUCU